RNAcentral lists this ribosomal RNA (548 nucleotides) under uncultured bacterium. RNAcentral describes it as "partial 16S ribosomal RNA". It matches the Rfam family "Bacterial small subunit ribosomal RNA", at positions 356 to 895 of the family's 1533-position model. The record is from RNAcentral.
UGGGAAUUUUGGACAAUGGGGCAACCCUGAUCCAGCAAUGCCGCGUGUGUGAAGAAGGCCUUCGGGUUGUAAAGCACUUUUGUCCGGAAAGAAAUCGCCCUGGCUAAUAUCCGGGGUGGAUGACGGUACUGGAAGAAUAAGCACCGGCUAACUACGUGCCAGCAGCCGCGGUAAUACGUAGGGUGCGAGCGUUAAUCGGAAUUACUGGGCGUAAAGCGUGCGCAGGCGGUUGUGCAAGACAGAUGUGAAAUCCCCGGGGCUUAACCUGGGAAAUGGCAUUUGUGACUGCACAGCUAGAGUGUGUCAGAGGGGGGUAGAAUUCCACGUGUAGCAGUGAAAUGCGUAGAUAUGUGGAGGAACACCGAUGGCGAAGGCAGCCCCCUGGGAUAACACUGACGCCCAUGCACGAAAGCGUGGGGAGCAAACAGGAUUAGAUACCCUGGUAGUCCACGCCCUAAACGAUGUCAACUAGUUGUCGGGUCUUAAUUGACUUAGGUAACGCAGCUAACGCGUGAAGUUGACCGCCUGGGGAGUACGGUCGCAAGAUU